CAAGAAUGAUUAAGCAAGAUAGUAAAUUUGAGGUAUCAUCAUAAAUAUUCAAAUAUUGUAUGCUACCUGGCAUUACCAUUAACUUUAAUUUUACAUCUCGGAACACUGGUAGUUUCCAGUACCAAGAUAGGGACUCAAAAAUUAGUUAAUCAUGAUUUGCCAAAGAACCUUAAAAGUCAAUACAUGAGGUUGUUUUGUCAAGUAGCUGGUUGGAGAUCAUUGGAAUUAAGAACGCUAAAAGCAGCUCAGAUGUAAUGCUAAUGAUCUGUAAUAAAAUCAGGCUUUUCAAGGCUGCAGUGUAUAUCUUUUAUGAAAAUUCAGGGGAUUUCAAUAAGAAGCAGAUGUGUCAUCACAAAUGUCUGAAAGUCACUCUUCAUCAUCAUUUUGUUGUUUUUUUUCUCUCCUCUUUAGUGCUUUAAUUAUCUAAUGCUGUAAAUUACUGAAUUACCAGAUCUUCCCAUGUCUAGUCUUCUGAAGAUGUCAAGCCGCAUAAAACUGAAAAUGUUAUUCCUUCUUCUCAGAUAUGACUUGUGUGAACAGAUGUGACGGUUGGGAGGAUGUCACACCAUGGAACAAUGUCUAUAGUUUUGGAAACUUUGCAUCUAUUUCUAUUUCAGAACUUGCACUUGGACUUUACAGGUCCUUUUUUGCUGACACAUAGAGCUCCAGCGCAUUUUAAGUGUAAUUGCAGUUCUCCCUACCAUUUAGGAAAGCUGAACAUUGUUAAAGGUUUGUAAAUUACCUACACUUAGGCCAUAGACAACUAGGCAAAUUAAAUGGCAGUGUCAGUAAUAUUACAAUGCAAAUUGGUGCCAAGCAGAAGCCAAGGUAGAAGCAUUUUAAUGUAGAACACUGUUUAUGAAGCAUCUCAAAAAUGCAACAAAAAACACAGAUAACGCCAAACUUGCAAACGUGCAUGUCCCCAAUACCUGAAAAACUAGGAUAUACACACAUACAGGACAUAGUUUACACAGCCACCAACUAUCCAAAGCAGUACGUGCAUUUUUUCACACACGUAUUUUGAGCA
RNAcentral lists this long non-coding RNA (1027 nucleotides) under Struthio camelus australis. RNAcentral's name for it is "lncRNA (ENSSCUG00000014926.1)". Lineage: Eukaryota; Metazoa; Chordata; Aves; Struthioniformes; Struthionidae. The record is from RNAcentral.